This is a long non-coding RNA of Pezoporus flaviventris, 506 nucleotides long. RefSeq lists it as uncharacterized. Lineage: Eukaryota; Metazoa; Chordata; Aves; Psittaciformes; Psittacidae. The record is from RefSeq and is a predicted model, not a curated record. The transcript is spliced from 4 exons.
CUGGCUCUCAAGUGUGAAGCAAGUACAUUUUUUUAAUUUCAGAGAAGCAUAUGCAUACACCACCUAGAAAUGCCAAAAAUAUCAGGAAUAGGCAGUGGGGAAACUGAGGGAACACCAUGCAGGAAACAGAAACAAGAGCUGAGAAUGUGCAUCUUUUAGCUACUGUAACUUAACAUAAAAGGUGUAUCUACAUACCUCAACAAAAAGUACCCUCUAGUAUUAGAAAUUAAAGGAAAUACAGAAGGAAAUUUUGCUUUAUUUUUGAAUGAAUUUCUCACUUGCAGGACUACCCAGGAAGUAACUCCAAAUUAUGUUUAAGAACACGUGACAACAUUUGAAUGUCUAACCUAGCAGAUCCCUGGCUUCCUCAUUUUCAUCUAUGGAACAAUAUGCCUGUUUGGCAAGAUAUAAAACUGGCUUCUCCUUGAAGGUUAUCCUAUCUUAAGACGUGUUGUCUUCUUUCUGAGGCAAUUAUAUGCUAGUAAGAAAUAGGAACUAGGAAGAAU